Long non-coding RNA from Gorilla gorilla gorilla (western lowland gorilla), 5713 nucleotides. RefSeq lists it as uncharacterized. The record is from RefSeq and is a predicted model, not a curated record. Lineage: Eukaryota; Metazoa; Chordata; Mammalia; Primates; Hominidae. The transcript is spliced from 2 exons.
UUUUUCCAAGACCUCUAAUGAUAUCGGAAGCUAACUCUACCAUGGAAAAGGUAUGCUUACAAAUAUUUUUUCUUGAGUUUUAGGCAAAGUUUAAAUAUCUUUUAUCCUAAAGAUACUAUUAUAUUUUCACCCAGAAAUUAGCAAAUUUCACAUGCAAAAUACCAAAUAGUCAUUGGAGAAAAAGUGAAUAUGAGAGAAGAUAGCAUCUAGAAUAAUCCCUAGUUUAAAGAAAAGGUAAAUGUAAUGUCACAUAUUUAAAAUGUCUAUUUACAUGUCUCAUCAAUAUUACAAAAUGAAGAUGCAACUCAAAAACCUGCAUUCCUAAUGCUUUUUACAUAGUCAACGUAACUGAUAACCCAUCUCUCCUGAGUUUAGAUAUAAGGAAACACUAUGAGUGUUUUCCCAACUCCCCAUCCUAAAAGUAUCAUUUGAUGUGAUAGACUUCACUUUUAAAAUACAAAUACCCUGAAGAUGUUAUGCCAUUACUUCUCAGCAAUUUCUGUGGCCACAUUAAUUGAUAAUUUGUUUGUUUUGCUUUGAGCUUCAAAAAGUAGCAUCAAUCAAAGGGCAAGACUAAUGCUUGAAGGAGUGUAGGGCAAGAGGGGAAAACCAGGACUUAAAGGAAGACUGUUAUGGGACACAAUAGUCAGCUGUGGAUACUUUGCAUAUGGCAUGAGGAUAUUAGCCACCUAGAGAUUAAGACAAGAAUGAUGUCAGAAAGUGAAAGAGAAGAAAGAAACAGGGCAUGCCCCAAGAACUUAUUUUGUUACUUUUGUAAAUACAACUGAACCAGUUAGAGCCACUAUCCAGAUUUAUUAUAUAUCCAUAGCAGUAAAAAUAAAAGCAAAAAAUAAUAAAUAUUGAAUCAACACAUCAUAUUUUUGUAUGUACUUAUUUAUCAAUAUCUGUGUAUAAUCCUUCCUAUAGUGAAUAAUUUGGAAUUCAGUGGCUUUGGGGAUGGACUAUGGAGUCAGAGAACAGUUAAAAUUCCUAGCUCUAAUUAUUUGUAGCCAUGUGUUCUUGUAUGAGAUAUACAAUCUUUUUAAACCUAAGUUUUAAAAAAUUUAUCUUGUAAAAUGAGGAUAAUAAUGGUACGUAAAUUAUAGAAUAGCUGAAAGAUGAAAUGGCAUAUCCCAUGCAAACUGCUUAGCACAUGACUUGCUCAGUAUAAAUAUUCAGUGAAGGCUGCCUAUUUUGUUAUAGAUCAGCAAGAGUUCUGCUUGCCUCUGGAACACACUGGUAAUGACAGAAAACAUGCUUAAAAGUAUAGUUAUUAAGACAGAGUUGGUCUUCGCCUUUCCCAUACACGCUGUUACCACCACCACACAAGCCACUAAGAUUCUAAAAGGAGAAAGCAAAAAAAGCAAGUCCCAUCAGAUUUUCUGUUCUAUUUUUCUAACUCAUAAUUACCAGAGAUGAAGCCCAUGUAAUUUAUUUGCAUUGUUUCACUGUUUGACACUAUGUUUAGUUACUUUUCUGUUAGUUUAUUGCUUGCUGCUGGUCCCCGUGGAACCCUUAGGACACACUUCAAAAUGAAAUAUUUUUUAUCCCAAUUAAAAUAUUUUAAUGAAUUAAGAUCCUGAAAGUGCUUGAUGAUGACUAGCAGCACUAUCUUAUACAAUGGAAAAGAGUUCUUAGAGAGCACAAAACUGUGACAAAGAACCAGCAAAAAUGACACCUAGCUCAUAUAUUUUAGAGGAGACGAUCGUAACAUCAGGAAAUAUAACAUAAUAAAUUAAUGUCUAUGCCAGAGAAUAUUAUCUUGCUUAUCCACUGCCUUUAUAUAUGGAUACAGGUAGGCUUUUAAAAUUAGUGUUUUUUAUUUUGUCUUAAGAGAGGAUGGUGCAUUUGCAGCAUCUCUCCCCAGAGUCUCUUUUUCAUUAAUACUAAAUAUUAUGCUUGCUAAAUUUGUAUUGUGAACACAAACUUGUAUCCCAUCUACACUAAUGUAGAACUCCAUUAAAAAGUAAAGGUUUUAUAGAGGGUUUAUAUCGCUCUCUUACUACUACCCCAAAUUAAAUAUAAAAUAUUUUAAUAACUAUCAUAGGCUUUAGUCCAAACAAGGCCAAGAUCUAGAGAUCACCUCUCACAGUCUAGAAAAUACAAUCAGGAGAGAGUCUGGCCCAUAAAACUAUUACUCCUUUACCACUGAAGUUCUCCUGGGGAGGGACUUUUUACAUUAAGGAUACAUCUAGCUAAUCUCUUUCCAAACCUUUAUUCACUUAUCCAAUUAGAAAAUGUAUGGGAAAACCUGGGCAUCUAGGCUCAGCCCCAGACUGUCCUCCUCUGUAAUUUAUUUUCCUCUAGCAGCAGCCAUCCCCACCUCGUUGCCUAGUACUGAAGUUCAGUGUGGGGAAGUCCAUUGAUCUCUUACCUAAACCUGCACUCUCUAUCAUCUGUUUAAUCCAUGUGAAAUUUGAUAUUUUCACCUUUAUUUUAUUUCCUAAAUUCUUCAGAACUUAGGCAAGAAGUUUGCUCUUUAGCAGCUCCAUUGGAGACCUCAAAAAAGCUAGUGAGGUGUAGUGAGAGAGGUGGGGCACUGGGGCACAGAGGGACUGGUGAGUGAAGCUUAUGACGGAGCACAAGAAAUGAGGCCAAAGAACAAAAGAGAAGCAAAGUUGAUGGAAUUAUAAUGCACAGUUGGAGCCUGGUCAGAAGAAAGUUAGGACACUUAUCACUGCAUCAUGAAAUUAGUGUAUUAAGUUGGAGUGGAUCAUCAAAAAGAUUGACAACACAAUGAGCAAAAUGGCCAUUUUAAUGAUAACCAUCAACACACCCACUAACACUAGCACUUAUUGAACAAUUAGUGUGUGUGGAGCACUAGGUUAAGAACUUUAAUGCAUUAAUACAUUUAAUCCUUUAACCACCCUGAUAGUUAGGUACUUAGCUCUUAGCCAUUACUGAUCAAGGAUUUCUUAAAUUAGCCCCAGGUUGGAGCAGAGCUAGGUGAGAAUCUAGAAUAAUGUUAUACAUACAGGUAGGAGGUAAGUGGCCAUAAUUUUAAAGGUUACAGGGGUGAUUCAUUAUAGUUAAUAGUUCUUUGCAGACUACAAAUGUAGAAGCCUUUGUGAAUCAGAACCACACAUCCUAAAUUCUGAAGAGACCUACUGUGAUCUUCUGACUUACUCUUUGAUCUUUAGACAUUAUCUCCACUUUGCAGAGGAAAACAUCUGAGGCACAGAGAGGUUAAGUGACUUGCUGAAGAUCAUACAGUUACACUGAUAGAAAACUAUAAAAUCAUACCUUAUUAAGUCUUGGAAACCUAUUGGUAACCUUUUGAGUAACAACUGUUUGAAGAGCCAAAUUAAUCUUUUCCAGAACUUGCACUAUUCAUGGGUUUUUCCUUCCCCCUACUAGAGUUCAGACACUUGGAGCUUGCUGCUUAAAAUAACUACCUCCCACCCCCACCUUCUUCAGCAUGGUGACUGCUGGAUCCAUUUGCAGUCUGUAAUUCCCUGGGAGGUGCUAACUCCUGCAGCUUUCCUCUCUGUGAACUGAAGUCUCCAUCUAUACAAUUUCAUUGCUCAUAAAGAUGAGCAAAAAGGAGAGCACAAACAAAUCCAAUUUACCCAUUUUUUGGUAUCUAGAAUACAUGUGGAGACAAAAUUGGUGGUUUGCCUCAGCUCUACUUGCUAGGAUAAUUUGGGGUGAUAUUGCAACUAAACGUUAUGUUUAAACUAUGCCAGUCACACUGUGCAUUUUAAAGGCCACAUUACAAGUCUCAUUACCUUUCUAACAUAUCUGAGAGUAUAAGUAAAUUUCAAAGAAAAAUGGCUUCCAUGAAUAUAAAAUUAUGUCACCCUUAAUUACACAUUGUUAUUCAAGGUACAGAGAAGCCCCGUUUGUUUCACCUUACUUCUACUUUGAGAUGAUUUUCACCGAGGAUGAAGUUUUUCAAAUGCAUUUAUUUCAAAAGUUGUUUGUCUUGCUCUUUGUGCUUAUGUAUAAACAUACUAACAUACGUUUUCAAUCCCUAAAAUGUAUAUUGUUGAUCUGUGUUUCUAAUUUUCUCUUCUUUAAAAUUAAAUAUAUUAUCAAGUCCUGGACAUCUUUAGUCACAAAAUAAUAUAGACUUUUCUCGUGUGUGUGUGUGUGGUUUUUAAAAAAUUUUCUCAGCAAUAUUAUUUGCCUCAAUUUGGAUGGCUGCUGACUGAUCAGGGAGGUGGUUGUUGAAGUUUGGGGUGUCUGUGACAAUUUCUGAAAAUAGGACAGCAAUGAAGUUUGCCCUAUCUACUGACUCUGCCUUUCAUUACAGAUUUCACUAUAACAUGCAAUGCUGUUUGAUAGCAUUUUAUCCACAAGAAAACUUCUUUUAAAAUUGGAGUCCAUUUUCUGAACCCGUGCUGCUGUUUUAUCAACUAAGUUUAAGUAAUAUUUUAAAUUAUUUGUUGUCCUUUCAACAAUGUUCACAGAAUCUUCACUAAGAAUAGAUUUUGUCUCAAGGAACCACUUUCUUUGUUUAUCCGUAAGAAGCAACUACUCAUCUGUUCAAGUUUUAUCAUGAGAUUGCAACAAUUCAGUCACAUCUUCAGCCUCUACUUCUAAUUAAAAUUCUCCUGCUAUUUUCACCACAUCUACAGUUACUUCCUCCUUUGAGAUUUUGAACCCCUCAAAGUCAUGCAAGAGGGUUGCAAUGAACUUCUUCCAAACUUCUGGAGAACUUUCACGCAGAAAACUAACAAAGAAAUUCUGGACUUAAACUUGACACUUGCCCAGUUGGUCUUAAUAGACAUCUAAAGAAUACUCCACCCAGCAACUACAGAAUAUAUAUUCGUCUCAUCUGCAGACACAACAUACUUUAAAAAUGACUGCAUGUUUGGUCAGAGAGUCUCAACAACUUUGGAAAAAUUAAAAUUAUACCCAACAUAUUCUCAGGUCAAAUGAAAUGCAAAUAGAAAUUAACACCAAGAAGAAUUCUCAAAACCACACAAAUACAUGGAAAUUAAACACAUUGAUCCUGAAUGACCUUUGUAAAGCAAGAAAAUUAAGGCAAAAAUCAAAAAAUUAUUUGAAAAAAACAAAAAUUGUGACACAGUAUAACAAAACCUCUGUGAUAUUGCAAAAGAAGUGAUAAAAUUUGUAGCACUAAAUGCCUACAUCAGGAAAAUAGAAAUAUCUUGUUAACAACCUAACAUUACACCUAAAGAAAUAGAGAAAGAAGAACUAAAUUCUAAAUGAAGAACCCAGUUCUAGCAGAAGAAAAGAAAGAAUUAAAAUCAGGACAGAACUAAGUGAAAUUGAGAUAAAGAAAACUAUUCAAAGGAUCAACAAAAUGAAAAGUUUGUUUUUUGAAAGGAUAAACAAAAUUGAUAGACUGCUAGAUAAACAAAGGAAAAAAAGACAGAAUAUCCAAAUAAGCACAAUCAGAUAUGACAAAGGUAACAUUACAACUGAUCUCACAGAAAUAUAAAAGAUCCUCAGAGAUUACUAUGAACAUCUCUAUGCACACAACUAGAAAAUCUAGAGGAAAUAGAUAAAUUCCUGGAAAUAUACAACCUCCCAAGAUCGAAUCUGGAAGAAAAAGACACCCUAAAGAGACCAGUAAUGAGUUACAAAAUUGAAUAAGUAAUAAUAAAAAACCUACUAACCAGAAAAGCACUGGACCAGAUGGAUUUACAGCCAAAUUACACCAGAUGUACAAAGAAGGUGUGGUAUCAAUCCCAUUGAAACUAUUCAUAAAAAAAAAAAAAAAGAAACUGAGGAGGAGUGAUUC